Molecule: ribosomal RNA, 292 nt
Filed under: Sphingomonas sp.
Lineage: Bacteria; Pseudomonadati; Pseudomonadota; Alphaproteobacteria; Sphingomonadales; Sphingomonadaceae
Description: partial 16S ribosomal RNA
Rfam family: Bacterial small subunit ribosomal RNA
Source: RNAcentral
AAACUUGAGAGUUUGAUCCUGGCUCAGAACGAACGCUGGCGGCAUGCCUAACACAUGCAAGUCGAACGAAGGCUUCGGCCUUAGUGGCGCACGGGUGCGUAACGCGUGGGAAUCUGCCCUUGGGUUCGGAAUAACUCAGAGAAAUUUGAGCUAAUACCGGAUGAUGUCGCAAGACCAAAGAUUUAUCGCCCAAGGAUGAGCCCGCGUAGGAUUAGGUAGUUGGUGAGGUAAAGGCUCACCAAGCCGACGAUCCUUAGCUGGUCUGAGAGGAUGAUCAGCCACACUGGGACUG